RNAcentral lists this ribosomal RNA (126 nucleotides) under uncultured bacterium. RNAcentral describes it as "partial 16S ribosomal RNA". It matches the Rfam family "Bacterial small subunit ribosomal RNA", at positions 1378 to 1501 of the family's 1533-position model. The record is from RNAcentral.
CCCUUGUACACACCGCCCGUCACACCAUGGAAGCAAGUAACACCCGAAGCCGGUGGCCUAACCCGCAAGGGAGGGAGCUGCCGAAGGUGGGACUCGUGACUGGGGUGAAGUCGUAACAAGGUACCC